UGUGGAGUCGCAGUGACAACCAGGAGGUUGGCUUAGAAGCAGCCAUCCUUGAAAGAGUGCGUAAUAGCUCACUGGUCAAGUGAUUUCGCGCCGAUAAUGUAGCGGGGCUCAAGCAUACCGCCGAAGUCGCGGCACCUGUGAUCGGACGUUGUCUGGUUGUGGGUGGGUAGGGGAGCGUCGUGCGUCCGGUGAAGCUGUCGAGUGAUCGGUGGUGGAGGGUGUGCGAGUGAGAAUGCAGGCAUGAGUAGCGAGUCAGAAGUGAGAAACUUCUGCGCCGGAUGACCAAGGGUUCCUGGGGCAGGUUGAUCCGCCCAGGGUUAGUCGGGGCCUAAGGCGAGGCCGACAGGCGUAGUCGAUGGAUGACGGGUUGAUAUUCCCGUACCCGCUGUGGUGCGCCCAUACUGAACCUGGUGAUACUAAGAGUCCUUAGCUCGGCCGGCCUUUCGGGGCUGGUGUCAGGGUGAACGCUCGGCCUGAGCUGGUAGUAGGUAAGCGAUGGGGUGACGCAGGAAGGUAGCCCAUCCCGGGCGGUGGUUGUCCCGGGGUAAGCAUGUAGGGCGAGGGGUAGGUAAAUCCGCUCCUCAUGGUGCCUGAGGUGUGAUGCCGAGCCGAUUGUGGUGAAGUGGGUGAUCCUAUGCUGUCGAGAAAAGCCUCUAGUGAGUGCUAUGGCGGCCCGUACCCUAAACCGACUCAGGUGGUCAGGUAGAGAAUACCGAGGCGGUCGGGUGAACUGUGGUUAAGGAACUCGGCAAAUUGCCCCCGUAACUUCGGGAGAAGGGGGGCCUCUGCUGGUGAUCGGCUUUUCGUUGUGAGCUGGUGGGGGUCGCAGUGGCCAGGGGGAAGCGACUGUUUACUAAAAACACAGGUCCGUGCGAAGUCGUAAGACGAUGUAUACGGACUGACGCCUGCCCGGUGCCGGAACGUUAAGGGGACUGCUUAGCCUGCUUUUGGUGGGCGAAGGUGAGAACUUAAGCGCCGGUAAACGGCGGUGGUAACUAUAACCAUCCUAAGGUAGCGAAAUUCCUUGUCGGGUAAGUUCCGACCUGCACGAAUGGCGUAACGACUUCCCCGCUGUCUCAACCACAGGCCCGGUGAAAUUGCAGUACGAGUAAAGAUGCUCGUUUCGCGCAGCAGGACGGAAAGACCCCGGGACCUUCACUGCAGCUUGACAUUGGUGUUUGGGGCGGCUUGUGUAGGAUAGGUGGGAGACGGUGAAGCGGUGACGCUAGUUGUCGUGGAGUCAUUGGUGAAAUACCACUCUGGUCGUUUUGGAUGUCUAACCCGCGCCCGUGGAUCCGGGUGGGGGACAGUGUCUGGUGGGUAGUUUAACUGGGGCGGUUGCCUCCUAAAGGGUAACGGAGGCGCCCAAAGGUUCCCUCAGCCUGGUUGGUAAUCAGGUGGUGAGUGUAAGUGCACAAGGGGGCUUGACUGUGAGACUGACGGGUCGAGCAGGAGCGAAAGCUGGGACUAGUGAUCCGGCGCCGGCGUGUGGAAGCGGUGUCGCUCAACGGCUAAAAGGUACCCCGGGGAUAACAGGCUGAUCUUCCCCAAGAGUCCAUAUCGACGGGAUGGUUUGGCACCUCGAUGUCGGCUCGUCGCAUCCUGGGGCUGGAGUAGGUCCCAAGGGUUGGGCUGUUCGCCCAUUAAAGCGGUACGCGAGCUGGGUUUAGAACGUCGCGAGACAGUUCGGUCCCUAUCCGCUGCGCGCGCAGGAGACUUGCGAGGGGCUGUCCCUAGUACGAGAGGACCGGGACGGACGAACCUCUGGUGUGCCAGUUGUUCCGCCAGGAGCAUGGCUGGUUGGCUACGUUCGGUAGGGAUAACCGCUGAAAGCAUCUAAGCGGGAAGCUUGCCUUUAGAUGAGGUCUCCCACCCGUGAUGGGGUAAGGCCCCCUGGAGAUGAUGGGGUUGAUAGGCUGGGAGUGGAAGCGCGGUAACGUGUGGAGCUGACCGGUACUAAUAGGCCGAGGACUUGUCCUC
RNAcentral lists this ribosomal RNA (1980 nucleotides) under Sphaerimonospora mesophila NBRC 14179 = JCM 3151. RNAcentral describes it as "bacterial LSU rRNA". It matches the Rfam family "Bacterial large subunit ribosomal RNA", at positions 1074 to 2925 of the family's 2925-position model. Lineage: Bacteria; Bacillati; Actinomycetota; Actinomycetes; Streptosporangiales; Streptosporangiaceae. The record is from RNAcentral.